This 631-nucleotide long non-coding RNA is filed under the name Pan troglodytes (chimpanzee). RNAcentral's name for it is "long non-coding RNA NONPTRT011391". The record is from RNAcentral. Lineage: Eukaryota; Metazoa; Chordata; Mammalia; Primates; Hominidae.
AGCAGAUUGGGUACCAAGGAGGACUGCCUGGAGGUGGUGGCCGCGGUGACCGCUCCAAACCCGUUCGGCCCUGUGCAGAAGUCUGAAGAACAAAGGUGCCCUCUGACGCAGCCCCAGGUCUGCUUUGGGGGAAACUAAGAUAAGCACUGUCCAUGAAAGGGGGACAAGGCAGUGAGCAGACACAGACAACUGCAAGGACCUCUUCCCACAGGUACCACUGACCUGUACAAAUGGGCCCUCAGCUUGAAGACUUAGCUAAUACUCUGAAUGCUCAGAAGAUAGGCAGGGCCAAGGUCUGGGCCUGAGGUAGGUGGGCCCGUCACACUAGUUUGCUCUUGCUUGACCCCAGAGUUGGUUAGAGGCAAGCUCAGGAUACUAAAAAUGGAUAGUUAUAAUGUGCCUUGGGUCCCAGAGUAGCCCAGGUCUCUCAGGCCCUACAGGAUGAGGCCAGAGUGACCCACUGGGAGGUCCCCUGGCCUCUGACUCUUCCAGCACAUUCUCUGCUCAGUAUCACUCCUUCCAGGAAUUCUCCCCACCCAGGUUUGUAGAAGGGCCGGUGCCUUCUGUUCCUCCACCCCCGCUAGCCUCAGUGUACACUGUAAGACCUAUUCCUGCUUUAUGCCCAGGUAAG